UCGGGUAGUUCAGGCGCUCGAUGGUUCCGAGGAACAGCGGCAGAGAGUGCGCCGAGUUGCGGCAGACCAGCGCGAUAACGACCCGGGGAGCGAGGAUCGGAGACUCGGGGCUCCAGCGCUCCUCGGGGAAAUAGCCCCAGCUUCGGCCCGGCAGGAGAACGAACAGCAGGUACCAGUUUCCACAGGCUCCCUGUUGGCCAACAGCACCAGAGGAGGAAGCCGGAGUCAACCUUCAGGCGCAUGGAGAGCAUGCCUGGAGAAUCCCAACUGGGAUUUGAAUCAGGAACCUUCUAGCUCUGAGGCAACAUUUGUACCAUUGUGCUAAGAACAUGCACAGAUCAGGCAUAAGAUUAUGACCACCUGUCUAGCAUUGAGUGGCCCCUUUCAGACACAUUCAAAUCCUUACACUUGCCAAUUUUUUUCCUGCUUUUAAUGCAUCAGAAAAAAAAAAAACGUUGACUUGAUCCCUAAUAUCCCACCCAUUAACAGGUGCCAUGAUGAAGAGAUAAUCAGUGUUGUUCACCCAUCAGUGGUCAUAAUGUUAUGCCUGAUGGGUGUAUAUAUAGUCUCUUUUCUUCUGGUAGUUUAAUUAAUGUGCAUUUUACAACCUAAAUAAAUGUACAUGACCUUUA
This is a long non-coding RNA of Oreochromis niloticus (Nile tilapia), 632 nucleotides long. RefSeq lists it as uncharacterized. Lineage: Eukaryota; Metazoa; Chordata; Actinopteri; Cichliformes; Cichlidae. The record is from RefSeq and is a predicted model, not a curated record. The transcript has 3 exons.